GAUGAACGCUGGCGGCGUGCCUAAUACAUGCAAGUCGAGCGAACGGACGAGAAGCUUGCUUCUCUGAUGUUAGCGGCGGACGGGUGAGUAACACGUGGAUAACCUACCUAUAAGACUUGGAUAACUUCGGGAAACCGGAGCUAAUACCGGAUAAUAUUUUGAACCGCAUGGUUCAAAAGUGAAAGACGGUCUUGCUGUUACUUAUAGAUGGAUCCGCGCUGCAUUAGCUAGUUGGUAAGGUAACGGCGUACCAAGGCAACGAUGCAUAGCCGGCCUGAGAGGGUGCUCGGCCACACUGGAACUGAGACACGGUCCAGACUCCUGCGGGAGGCAGCAGUAGGGAAUCUUCCGCAAUGGGCGAAAGCCUGACGGAGCAACACCGCGUGAGUGAUGAAGGUCUACGGAUCGUAAAACUCUGUUAUUAGGGAAGAACAUAUGUGUAAGUAACUGUGCACAUCUUGACGGUACCUAAUCAGAAAGCCACGGCUAACUACGUG
This 497-nucleotide ribosomal RNA is filed under the name uncultured bacterium. RNAcentral's name for it is "partial 16S ribosomal RNA". It matches the Rfam family "Bacterial small subunit ribosomal RNA", at positions 28 to 507 of the family's 1533-position model. The record is from RNAcentral.